UGGAUCCAGACUUUGAUUCUGGCUCAGGACGAACGCUGGCGGCGUGCCUAAUACAUGCAAGUCGAACGAAGCUUUCUUUCACCGAAUGCUUGCAUUCACCGAAAGAAGCUUAGUGGCGAACGGGUGAGUAACACGUAGGCAACCUGCCCAAAAGAGGGGGAUAACACUUGGAAACAGGUGCUAAUACCGCAUAACCAUGAACACCGCAUGAUGUUCAUGUAAAAGACGGCUUUUGCUGUCACUUUUGGAUGGGCCUGCGGCGUAUUAACUUGUUGGUGGGGUAACGGCCCACCAAGGUGAUGAUACGUAGCCGAACUGAGAGGUUGAUCGGCCACAUUGGGACUGAGACACGGCCCAAACUCCUACGGGAGGCAGCAGUAGGGAAUCUUCCACAAUGGACGAAAGUCUGAUGGAGCAACGCCGCGUGAAUGAAGAAGGCCUUCGGGUCGUAAAAUUCUGUUGUCAGAGAAGAACGUGCGUGAGAGUAACUGUUCACGUAUUGACGGUAUCUGACCAGAGAGCCACGGCUAACUACGCGCCAGCAGCCGCGGUAAUACGUAGGUGGCGAGCGUUGUCCGGAUUUAUUGGGCGUAAAGGGAACGCUGGCGGUCUUUUAAGUCUGAUGUGAAAGCCUUCGGCUUAACCGAAGUAGUGCAUUGGGAACUGGAAGACUUGAGUGCAGAAGAGGAGAGUGGAACUCCAUGUGUAGCGGUGAAAUGCGUAGAUAUAUGGAAGAACACCAGUGGCGAAAGCGGCUCUCUGGUCUGUAACUGACGCUGAGGUUCGAAAGCGUGGGUAGCAAACAGGAUUAGAUACCCUGGUAGUCCAUGCCGUAAACGAUGAGUGCUAAGUGUUGGAGGGUUUCCGCCCUUCAGUGCUGCAGCUAACGCAUUAAGCACUCCGCCUGGGGAGUACGGUCGCAAGACUGCAACUCAAAUGAAUUGACGGA
Molecule: ribosomal RNA, 949 nt
Filed under: uncultured Bacillota bacterium
Lineage: Bacteria; Bacillati; Bacillota
Description: bacterial SSU rRNA
Rfam family: Bacterial small subunit ribosomal RNA
Source: RNAcentral